This 29-nucleotide non-coding RNA is filed under the name Mus musculus (house mouse). Lineage: Eukaryota; Metazoa; Chordata; Mammalia; Rodentia; Muridae. The record is from RNAcentral.
UUCCUACAUACCCUUAUUCUCCCUCAAAC